GAGAUUUGGGUGCCCAGAAACCUGGAGGUGGAGACAGAGUCCACCCAUUGUCCAUUCGGAUGGUGAGUUUUGAGCGGACAUGCUGUCUCAUCUUCAUCAGACAUGAACUCCAACCAGUGGCUUGACUGAAAGACAGCACAGAGGUACUAAUCGGGGCAUUUUCAGUGCUGCCAUCUUGGACAGAUAGUGUAUGGGGUGUUCUGACUUUCUGAGAGUGAGGAAAGAAUACAAGACUGGGGGUCAGGAGAAGACUAGCCUAACAUCCCCCGCCCGGGAGCCAGGACAUCAUUAGAAUCAUGGAGGAGAGAGGAGCACUUGAAGGAGAGGAGACAAGGAGAGGGGAGAGGUGGCUGUCAGUUGGAGGUUAAGAGUCUGCUGUCCAGUCAAUCAUCCAAUCCCAACCUCAGGAGCCUGUUUGAGUCUGCCAAUCACUGAGACAUGCACACACCCAGCCUGGAGGGAGGAGAAUCAAGCCCUUUCUCAAGUAUGUGAGUCCGUACUCGCGAUUUGUACAAUUGGAACAGCAGCAUACUUGAUGAUAUUACCUUCCCGGAGGUUUUACUGCCAUCC
Long non-coding RNA from Oreochromis aureus, 570 nucleotides. NCBI's taxonomy places the organism in Eukaryota, Metazoa, Chordata, Actinopteri, Cichliformes, Cichlidae. The record is from Ensembl.